Molecule: non-coding RNA, 28 nt
Filed under: Rattus norvegicus (Norway rat)
Lineage: Eukaryota; Metazoa; Chordata; Mammalia; Rodentia; Muridae
Source: RNAcentral
GGAACCAACGCAGCCGGAUCCUUGAGAA